This 253-nucleotide ribosomal RNA is filed under the name uncultured bacterium. Its description in RNAcentral is "partial 16S ribosomal RNA". It matches the Rfam family "Bacterial small subunit ribosomal RNA", at positions 524 to 776 of the family's 1533-position model. The record is from RNAcentral.
UACGAAGGGAGCGAGCGUUAUUCGGAAUCACUGGGCGUAAAGCGUGCGUAGGCGGCCAAGAAAGUCAGAAGUGAAAUCCCAAGGCUUAACCAUGGAAUUGCUUUUGAAACUUCUUGUCUGGAGUAUGGUAGAGGAUAGCGGAAUUCCGAGUGUAGAGGUGAAAUUCGCAGAUAUUCGGAGGAACGCCAGUUGCGAAGGCGGCUAUCUGGACCAUUACUGACGCUGAGGUACGAAAGCGUGGGGAUCAAACAGG